ACACCUCAACUCUCAUGGUCCGCCAUGAUGAGCUUGGACUUUGGGGGUCUUGCCGGACCAGCGUCGGCUCCUCUAAAAUGGAUCAGCUUGCCAGUGUUUGGUGGCGUCACAGGUGUGAUAACUAUCUACGCUUGUGGUUCCCCGCCAAGUGACCUUCAGCGAUGGAGGUCCGCUGGAGCUCACAGACGUCUCUCCUCGUGAGGACAGCUUUUUGAAC
RNAcentral lists this unclassified non-coding RNA (217 nucleotides) under uncultured Tomentella. Its description in RNAcentral is "sequence contains ITS2". The record is from RNAcentral. Lineage: Eukaryota; Fungi; Basidiomycota; Agaricomycetes; Thelephorales; Thelephoraceae.